RNAcentral lists this ribosomal RNA (505 nucleotides) under uncultured bacterium. Its description in RNAcentral is "bacterial SSU rRNA". It matches the Rfam family "Bacterial small subunit ribosomal RNA", at positions 1 to 528 of the family's 1533-position model. The record is from RNAcentral.
GCGAUGUUUGAUCCUGGCUCAGAAUCAACGCUGGCGGCGUGCCUAACACAUGCAAGUCGAGCGAGGCCCCUCCUUCGGGAGGGUGUCCUAGCGGCGAACGGGUGAGUAACACGUGGGCAACCUGCCCCUGGCACUGGAAUAACCCCGGGAAACCGGGGCUAAUACCGGAUACGACCUCAGAGGGCAUCCUCCGAGGUGGAAAAGGUUACUGGCUAGGGAUGGGCCCGCGGCCUAUCAGCUUGUUGGUGGGGUAGUGGCCUACCAAGGCGACGACGGGUAGCCGGCCUGAGAGGGUGACCGGCCACACUGGGACUGAGACACGGCCCAGACUCCUACGGGAGGCAGCAGUGGGGAAUAUUGGACAAUGGGCGCAAGCCUGAUCCAGCCAUGCCGCGUGGAUGAUGAAGGCCCUAGGGUUGUAAAGUCCUUUUAACGGGGAAGAUAAUGACGGUACCCGUAGAAUAAGCCCCGGCUAACUUCGUGCCAGCAGCCGCGGUAAUAGCUG